CCCGCUGAGUUUAAGCAUAUCAAUAAGCGGAGGAGAA
Molecule: ribosomal RNA, 37 nt
Filed under: Terminalia litoralis
Lineage: Eukaryota; Viridiplantae; Streptophyta; Magnoliopsida; Myrtales; Combretaceae
Description: partial 28S ribosomal RNA
Source: RNAcentral